UGAGGAACUGCUCGAGAUACGUUAUGAGAAACUUCAUUUAGCCGAUGCGUAAAGUAUAUCAUUUUUGACAUAAAGUGCCGCCGACUGUCAUCGUCGAUUCCCGCUUCUACAGUCAGGCGCGAUUCGCGCGUCAGGACUCUCAUAAAGUGAACUGACAUGAAUCAAUGAAUCGCGUGAGAUCAGAAGUGACACAUUUGAAUGAACGUGCCAUAGUUUGAAGAUGAGUAUGAAUUAUUCCCAUGUAAUAUUGUGAUGGCUUCCUCAACCGAGAGACCCCGCAAUUCAGAACGUCAGCUACAGGCCCAGUUUAAUGUUCUGUGCUCACGCUUGGGCUGUUCUGUUCUGCCGGUCUCCUACAAUCUCUUCUCCAGUGGCAUUCUGACUCAGUUGGAACUGGAGAAAAUCCAAGCAAUACCCAUCCCAACCCAGCAAGCACAAAUUCUGCUGUCCAUCUGCCUGAAGAAAGGAGAAAAAGUGUGCAUGAGCUUUUACACAGCGCUACAGAAUGAGGAUGAGCAACUAGCUGAGGAACUUAAUGUAAACAGUUUGGUGGAAGACCUUGAUAAAGAACCAGAAGGCAGCACUGUGCCGAUAGCAGUGGAGGAAACUAGAGAUCACUUGAGAGCAGCUUUACCUCUGUCAGGAGGCCUGCAGCAGGUCAUGACUCAGCUGGGCUUGACUGUGGGGGAUGAGAUUAGGUUUAAUGUCUGUGAGGUUGGUGUGGCGGUGGGUUUGCCGCGUCGGACAGUCAUAGAGUACCUUCUGGAAGGGGUCGGCAUUGAAGACUCAGCCCAGCUGGAAGCCCUAGUGUCCUUGUAUAUAGAGAAGACACAGGACGCCGACAGACUACUGAGCAGAGUGGCAGAACUCAGCCC
This 875-nucleotide long non-coding RNA is filed under the name Sinocyclocheilus anshuiensis. RNAcentral describes it as "lncRNA (ENSSANG00000042244.1)". Lineage: Eukaryota; Metazoa; Chordata; Actinopteri; Cypriniformes; Cyprinidae. The record is from RNAcentral.